This 492-nucleotide ribosomal RNA is filed under the name uncultured bacterium. RNAcentral's name for it is "partial 16S ribosomal RNA". It matches the Rfam family "Bacterial small subunit ribosomal RNA", at positions 29 to 507 of the family's 1533-position model. The record is from RNAcentral.
AGUGAACGCUGGCGGUAGGCCUAACACAUGCAAGUCGAACGGCAGCACAGUAAGAGCUUGCUCUUACGGGUGGCGAGUGGCGGACGGGUGAGGAAUACAUCGGAAUCUACUUUUUCGUGGGGGAUAACGUAGGGAAACUUACGCUAAUACCGCAUACGACCUACGGGUGAAAGCAGGGGAUCUUCGGACCUUGCGCGAUUGAAUGAGCCGAUGUCGGAGUAGCUAGUUGGCGGGGUAAAGGCCCACCAAGGCGACGAUCCGUAGCUGGUGUGAGAGGCUGAUCAGCCACCCUGGAACUGAGACACGGUCCAGACUCCUACGGGAGGCAGCAGUGGGGAAUAUUGGACAAUGGGCGCAAGCCUGAUCCAGUCAUACCGCGUGGGUGAAGAAGGCCUUCGGGUUGUAAAGCCCUUUUGUUGGGAAAGAAAAGCAGCAGGUUAAUACCCCGCUGUUCUGACGGUACCCAAAGAAUAAGCACCGGCUAACUUCGUG